CAGAGACCUCACUGUCACUUUCUUCAACAAAUUCUUGCUUUUACUGACCAAUGUUUUGAUAAUUUUACCGAGUUUUAUACAAAAUGUUCCUGUGUGGUUGUGAAGAGAAGCCGGAACCGGAUCCACAGGGCUCAGAAGAGGCGCCCACGACUUUGCUGGUGGGCACGGCGGUGGGGACUGGGCUGUUGUUUGUUGCUCUCAUGUACCUGGCUUAUACGGCAGUAAAAGCCAAAAUGAGUCGGCGUCAGAGAAACUAUGAAGCACCAAGUUGGACACUGCCUCGGCGAAGGAACUUCACGUGAACUGA
Molecule: long non-coding RNA, 307 nt
Organism: Plutella xylostella (diamondback moth)
Lineage: Eukaryota; Metazoa; Arthropoda; Insecta; Lepidoptera; Plutellidae
Source: RefSeq, a predicted model, not a curated record